UACGGGGGGAGCAAGCGUUGUUCGGAUUUACUGGGCGUAAAGGGCGCGUAGGCGGUCAGCACAAGUCAGUUGUGAAAUCUCCGAGCUUAACUCGGAAAGGUCAACUGAUACUGUGCGACUAGAGUGCAGAAGGGGCAACUGGAAUUCUCGGUGUAGCGGUGAAAUGCGUAGAUAUCGAGAGGAACACCUGCGGCGAAGGCGGCUUUCUGGGCCUUACCUGACGCUGAGACGCGAAAGCGUGGGGAGCGAACCGG
Molecule: ribosomal RNA, 254 nt
Filed under: uncultured bacterium
Lineage: Bacteria
Description: partial 16S ribosomal RNA
Rfam family: Bacterial small subunit ribosomal RNA
Source: RNAcentral